RNAcentral lists this ribosomal RNA (56 nucleotides) under Septoria stachydis. RNAcentral's name for it is "partial 28S ribosomal RNA". Lineage: Eukaryota; Fungi; Ascomycota; Dothideomycetes; Mycosphaerellales; Mycosphaerellaceae. The record is from RNAcentral.
GACCUCGGAUCAGGUAGGGAUACCCGCUGAACUUAAGCAUAUCUAGGCGGGGAGAA